AUUGAACGCUGGCGGCAUGCUUUACACAUGCAAGUCGAACGGCAGCGCGGGCUUCGGCCUGGCGGCGAGUGGCGAACGGGUGAGUAAUAUAUCGGAACGUACCCAAGAGUGGGGGAUAACGUAGCGAAAGUUACGCUAAUACCGCAUACGAUCUAAGGAUGAAAGCAGGGGAUCGCAAGACCUCGUGCUCCUGGAGCGGCCGAUGUCAGAUUAGCUAGUUGGUGAGGUAAAGGCUCACCAAGGCGACGAUCUGUAGCGGGUCUGAGAGGAUGAUCCGCCACACUGGAACUGAGACACGGUCCAGACUCCUACGGGAGGCAGCAGUGGGGAAUUUUGGACAAUGGGGGCAACCCUGAUCCAGCCAUGCCGCGUGAGUGAAGAAGGCCUUCGGGUUGUAAAGCUCUUUCGGCCGGGAAGAAAUCGCACGGGCUAAUACCCUGUGUGGAUGACGGUACCGGAAUAAGAAGCACCGGCUAACUACGUGCCAGCCGCCGCAGUAA
This 500-nucleotide ribosomal RNA is filed under the name uncultured bacterium. Its description in RNAcentral is "partial 16S ribosomal RNA". It matches the Rfam family "Bacterial small subunit ribosomal RNA", at positions 30 to 523 of the family's 1533-position model. The record is from RNAcentral.